RNAcentral lists this unclassified non-coding RNA (323 nucleotides) under Hevea brasiliensis (rubber tree). Lineage: Eukaryota; Viridiplantae; Streptophyta; Magnoliopsida; Malpighiales; Euphorbiaceae. The record is from RNAcentral.
GAGGUUCACUUGGUGUUUGAGGGUACUAUUGCCGUGAGCUUGGUGUUGAGUUUGGGAUUAUUGUGCGUGAGGUUGCUUAAGGUAACUUGUUAUUGCCGUGGGUUCCAUCCUUGUUGCUUGUGGUAUUGAGUAUUUCGGCCAUUGUGGGGUUUGAGAGUAACCUUGUUGCCGUGAGACUCCUUGUGGUGAGUUUGGUGGCCGUGAGCUCCUUGUGACCUUGGGGCGCAUUGUUGGGUUGUUGGCAUUGCCGUGAACUUCAUGGUGAACCUCUUGGUGUUUGAAGUUUACUAGUUGCCGUGAGUUCUUGGAGUACCCUAGUAUUG